RNAcentral lists this ribosomal RNA (562 nucleotides) under uncultured Glomeromycotina. RNAcentral describes it as "SSU rRNA". It matches the Rfam family "Eukaryotic small subunit ribosomal RNA", at positions 548 to 1114 of the family's 1831-position model. Lineage: Eukaryota; Fungi; Glomeromycota. The record is from RNAcentral.
UUGGAGGGCAAGUCUGGUGCCAGCAGCCGCGGUAAUUCCAGCUCCAAUAGCGUAUAUUAAAGUUGUUGCAGUUAAAAAGCUCGUAGUUGAAUUUCGGGACCAAUUUGUUGGUCGUGCCUCGGUACGUACUGGUAUUAUUGGUUUCUCCCUUCUGAAGAACCUUGAUGUCAUUAAUUUGGUGUCUUGGGGAAUCAGGACUGUUACUUUGAAAAAAUUAGAGUGUUUAAAGCAGGCAUACGCUUGAAUACAUUAGCAUGGAAUAAUGAAAUAGGACGUUUGAUUCUAUUUUGUUGGUUUCUAGGAUCGACGUAAUGAUUAAUAGGGAUAGUUGGGGGCAUUAGUAUUCAAUUGUCAGAGGUGAAAUUCUUGGAUUUAUUGAAGACUAACUACUGCGAAAGCAUUUGCCAAGGAUGUUUUCAUUAAUCAAGAACGAAAGUUAGGGGAUCGAAGACGAUCAGAUACCGCCGUAGUCUUAACCAUAAACUAUGCCGACUAGGGAUCGGAUGAUGUUAUUUUUAAUGACUCAUUCGGCGCCUUACGGGAAACCAAAGUGUUUGGGUUC